UGGAUGUCGUCAGCUCGUGCCGUGAGGUGUUGGGUUAAGUCCCGCAACGAGCGCAACCCUUAUCACUAGUUGCCAACACGUAAUGGUGGGAACUCUAGUGAGACUGCCUGGGUUAACCAGGAGGAAGGUGAGGAUGACGUCAAGUCCGCAUGGCCCUUAUGACUGGGGCUACACACGUGCUACAAUGGUCGGUACAGUGGGCAGCGAAGCCGUGAGGUGAAGCAAAUCCCCCAAAGCCGAUCUCAGUUCAGAUUGUAGUCUGCAACUCGACUACAUGAAGACGGAAUUGCUAGUAAUGGCGAGUCAGCAACAUCGCCGUGAAUACGUUCCCGGGUCUUGUACACACCGCCCGUCACAUCAUGGGAGUUGGUUUCACCCGAAGCCGCUGGCUCAACCGCAAGGAGAGAGGCGUCUAAGGUGAGGCUGAUGACUGGGAUGAAGUCGUAACAAGGUAGCCCUACCGGAAGGUGGGG
Molecule: ribosomal RNA, 473 nt
Filed under: uncultured bacterium
Lineage: Bacteria
Description: bacterial SSU rRNA
Rfam family: Bacterial small subunit ribosomal RNA
Source: RNAcentral